This 253-nucleotide ribosomal RNA is filed under the name uncultured bacterium. Its description in RNAcentral is "partial 16S ribosomal RNA". It matches the Rfam family "Bacterial small subunit ribosomal RNA", at positions 524 to 776 of the family's 1533-position model. The record is from RNAcentral.
UACGUAGGGGGCAAGCGUUGUCCGGAAUCAUUGGGCGUAAAGAGCGUGUAGGCGGCUUGGUAAGUCCGCUGUGAAAGUCCAGGGCUCAACCCUGGAAUGCCGGUGGAAACUGUCAAUCUUGAGUCCGGAAGAGGCGAGUGGAAUUCCUGGUGUAGCGGUGAAAUGCGCAGAUAUCAGGAGGAACACCAAUGGCGAAGGCAGCUCGCUGGCACGGUACUGACGCUGAGACGCGAAAGCGUGGGGAGCAAACAGG